UGCCUGGCGGCCUUAGCGCGGUGGUCCCACCUGACCCCAUGCCGAACUCAGAAGUGAAACGCCGUAGCGCCGAUGGUAGUGUGGGGGCUCCCCAUGCGAGAGUAGGGAACUGCCAGGCAU
Molecule: ribosomal RNA, 120 nt
Filed under: Escherichia coli
Lineage: Bacteria; Pseudomonadati; Pseudomonadota; Gammaproteobacteria; Enterobacterales; Enterobacteriaceae
Also listed under: 1 other name
Source: RNAcentral